AAAAACAAUGUUAUCACCCUAUUCAAAGUGUUGAAAUAGUCUUGUUUGGAGUUGUGUGGGGUUGAAUAAUUAUGUUUAUAAUAUUUCAUAAGUUGGAAGAAAAAUAAAAAAAAAUAGAAAAAAAAGGAAUGAAAAAAUAGAAGGAUAAGAGGAAGAAAAAAAUAGACGGCUAAGAGGAAGAAAAAAAGCAAUUAUGUUUGUAAUAUUUUAAUACAUGUCAAUACAUACUCCUUAAAAAAAAUGAAUAAAAAAAGGAAGGAGAAGAGAAAACAAUUGCUAUAGAG
This 284-nucleotide long non-coding RNA is filed under the name Lathyrus oleraceus (garden pea). RNAcentral's name for it is "Pisum sativum (pea) long non-coding RNA (PSAT_LNC014210)". The record is from RNAcentral. Lineage: Eukaryota; Viridiplantae; Streptophyta; Magnoliopsida; Fabales; Fabaceae.